Molecule: long non-coding RNA, 2405 nt
Organism: Siniperca chuatsi (mandarin fish)
Lineage: Eukaryota; Metazoa; Chordata; Actinopteri; Centrarchiformes; Sinipercidae
Exons: 4
Source: RefSeq, a predicted model, not a curated record
ACAGGGAAAUACAUUUUUAAAAACGUUUAAAAUGUUGAUAUAUUAAACACUUUUUGUAGAUUGAGAACACACUAUUUUAUACAAGACAGCUUUGGUUCCCUGUGCCAUUUCUUUAAUUCUGAAGUCCAUUUCUGGACAGAAAAGCCGCUAUUUAUUUAUUCAAAUGCAAUUUUUCAAUGCUGUGAGCACCACAGACAAAAUUCCCUUCAUCUCCAUUUUAUCGGGGUAACGAGACGGGUGAGGGGGGCUGAUGGUAAUGUUAGCUUAGUGACUGGGAUGUAACAACAGAGGGAAUACAGGGGAUACAUUAAAAAAAAUCCAAAUCCACAACUCACGCCGUAACUGCAUUUGAAAUGGUUAGAAGCAGAAUCAGUUUACCCAGAGUUUAUGCCAGUAAGAGAGAAUGCAACAAAUACACCCAUUAUAGCACCCAUCUGUAAAACUAGGGUCUAGCAUCUUGGUUGAUUAUCGCAGCCAACCACGACUUAUGUUUAAUCCCUGAUCUUGUUUACUUAUCUUUGGUGCGCCAAUCAUAAAUCCAUAGACUGAUGACAAAACUGUGGCCCCAGGUAAUGGUAAGCUCCCAGCUUCAACACUGGAUCAGCUGCAGCAUUAAUGAACACAUUGUCAGCCCACAGGACACCAGAUGCCCCAAGUGCAACCAGAACUUCCGGGGGCCGGUCCAGAAUAAGUGACUCUGCAGAUCAGCAGUGUCCCGCUGUCCAUCUCCUCUCCUCUAUCAAACUGCCCACAUUGUACUGAUUCACAUAUAAUUGGACCUAAUCUAUAAGCAUUCACAUUGUUUGAAUCAGUAAGUGUAUAUAAGUGCUGUGUUGUUUAAACCUCUAUAUACUGUAAUAAAUCAGCUGUAAGGAGAAACUAUUCUUUGAUUCUGAUUUUUAUAUAUAAACCCAAAUAUAUUAAGACAGUUUAAGAAAUUGAAUUCAGGUUGCUGUCACUGACAUUACAGUCACUUGUAUUACAAACACUAAACUAUACAAAUACCACAGUGUUCACUUAUUGUCAGUUAAGUACAACAUUUGAGCAUCAGUAUGGUGCUUUAAAAUACUGAACACACAGCCUUCCUGUCCGUCUCAUAUCUGAGAUUGGACUUUGGUUCAAUAUUUUCAGCAAAUAGAAAAUCGCUAGUUGUUGACUCUUGUGCAUUUAAAUCUGUAAGUAAUAGUAGCAUUGAAAUAGUAUAAACAUAUAUAAUAUUCUUCCUUUCUGGUGUACCUUAGUUUUACCUUAGAUAUCUAUAAUUUUGAUUACUAAAAGCAUCUAUCUUCUGAUCCUGCUACAUUAACAGUAAUCUUUAAUCCUAAAUAUUGUGUUCAAUAUAUUGGUCGUGUACAAUAAAAUAUUACAUUUGUGGUUUUGGAGCACAACAACGAUGCUGAGGAAGGUCAACAGGAUGCAUCAUGUGCACCACAGGUAUCAUAUGCUGACACUGUAAAGAGAGGACUUCACAUUGAUGAUGUUUAAGAUUACAAUAAUUGUUAAUUCAUUUUAGUUUUGAAAAUGAAAAAAAAUUAUUUGUAUAAUGAAUGUAUCUUUUGCACAGAAAGUCACCUGGGAUACAAGGGGGUUCAUUAGCACAGAACAUGCCAGUGAAGUUUUACAUCGUAAUUAACUAGAUAUAUCAAGACAGCUGUGCAUAUAUAUUUUGUGUUCGUUGCUAAUGUGUUAGCUUGCUACAGUCUGUUGGCUAACGUUUGUUGUUGUGCCGUUUGAACAAGUAACGUUGCCAUUAAGGAAAGUAAGGCUCUUCUUUAACAGGUGCUUCAAGACAAUGCUGCGGGCAUUUAAUGUGAGAAGGAAGGUAGUUAGCUAAAGGUCGAGGAGGUUCCGUUUGCAUUCCGUGUAACAUGUUCACGUCUGCUGGAAAAUAAACCAAGUGACAAGGAAAGUAACAGUAGUAGGCUAAUAAUACAAUCUUCAAAUCUAAAAAGGGGACAGUAGUGAACUGUCAACACAGCAAAAUAUGCGCAGGCUUAUGUUUUUAUGAUGGGGGAACAUUUGUUUACAUACACCUCUUUCAUGAGCUGCUAAAUUAGCAUGUUCCGUGCUAAUUAGCCACCUGGUGACUCCAGCAUACUACAGAUGGACAAAGUAACCAGAACGUGCUAGAACCUUUUGCCCCCUGAUUGGACAGUUUGACGUACAACGUGCUGAUUGGCUAGUCAGCACAGGCGUUAAAACAUGGCCAACAUUUGUGCUUGUAAUUCGUAGCUUGUAACUUCAGUGUCACAUACAAAGAUAGGACAUUUGAGUGUCCGUCUCGCAGACUGUGUGAAACCUCACUGUUGAAAAUAUUCCUGCACAUAUUUUAAUUACACAUACACAAAAUAUUUUUACAGCUGCAAACUUUUUUUUUUUUUUUUUUUUUACACAUGUGCAAAUGA